GUGUCCAGUCAUGCGUUUAUCCGGGUAGAAUCUAGAUCUAACUAAAUUUGUUUUGUAAGAGAGAAUACAUUUUGAUUGGUCAAAUACGCUUUUGUAAGAGAGAAUACAAUUUGAUUGGUCAAAUACGCUUUCUGCACGAAUAACAAGUUGUUUUUUUUUUUUUUUUUUUUUUUUCUUUUUGGCGCGAAGUAACAUAUUCUUAGACGUAGAUCUAUCAGGUAUACAUUUGUAUUACAAACAAGUGCUCCUCAAAAGGUUGCAAAGUGAAAGAAUUGAUUCCAGUGAAGUAUGAAAUGUGAUAAAGAACUACCAUCUACAUCAUAGAUUUAAGGAUGACCACAAUAUUGUCAGAGUUUUAAAGGCUCAGGAAAACCAAUUCCCAGGUUCUGCUGCCUUAUCCAGCCUUCAGCCUAAAAGUCGGUCUCAAGCUCUGCCUCCAAAACCAAAACCUGGCACUCAGCCUCCACAACAGAGGGCACAAAACAGCUUGGCCAGAGACCCUAGUGAAAGUCAUGACAGACCAUCAACUGGAUCAAAGAGAUUGUGGUGUGUGUGUGUGUGUGCUGUGUUGAGAUACCAUUGCUGAGGAAGAGUUGCAUUCCAAGUUCCACAACUUAGCAUGCACAAAUGGGAGAAGAUGUGUACAAAAUUCUUGUGAGCAUCCGCUGUUGUUGAACAUGUUGGAUAUGCCAUUCCUGGUCCAACAUGGACAAAAAAUGGACACAAAAUUGAUUAAAGGAUGCGUGAUUUCUUUUUACCUACACAGCGGACUGAAGACAAACCUACUCCAUGAACCACUUCCAAUUCUGCUUUCCAAAUAAAAUAUAGAACUAAAUGCAGUUCAUCUAACGGAGUGGAGUCCAGCAAUAAUGUUGUGAUUACCAGCAGUUCUAAUAAGUGAUCUACUCGGCCAGCAACCAGGAGAUAUGAACAUUCAGUUGUAAACCAUUGUGAGUGGUUGUAUGUGGAUUUUUAGAAGAUCUGAACAGCUGGUUAUGAAGCAGUGCAUGUUUUUUUUUAAGUGGACAUCAAUAUUCAGUUAAAACCAGUGUAUGGAUUUUUGAGCAAAUUAAAAUUGUGUAUUAUCAGAAUGAUAUUUCUAAGGUGUUAAGAAAUCACUUACUUUGACAUUCAGAGAACAGAGACUAUAUGAAUAGUGCAAUUUAAAUUAGUAGAUUAUCAAAAUACAUGAGAAAUUGUACCACUUUCUGUUUGUUUUUGAUGACUGGAGUAGAAAACGCAAACAGUAACAGUUGACAGUGAAUUUUUUAUUUAAAAAUCAAAAGGUGUAAACAGAAAAUUUAAAACUAUUAAGAAAGUGGCUUUUUGUGUGAAAGUGGCACAGUCUGACAUUUUACUGUCUAAAGAACAAGAAAUUUACAGUCAAGUACAAAUAUCAACUGAGGGGUGAGUUACACAUACUUUCUAUGCAGGAAAUGCAGAUAAUCUGUAAUUAUUAAAGCUUGUGUUGACAUCAACACAUUACUUAAUUACUACUUAAGUUUGCACAACUUAUUUUUGUGCAUUAAACUGGAAUAACUGCAGUUCCUGUAUAUAUAUAGUGUGUGCUUAUUGUUUUGUUUUUAGGUCAAUGCAUGAUUAUUUUUUAGCUCACCAGUGUAUAAAGUGCUCAA
This is a long non-coding RNA of Mercenaria mercenaria, 1634 nucleotides long. RefSeq lists it as uncharacterized. The record is from RefSeq and is a predicted model, not a curated record. The transcript has 6 exons. NCBI's taxonomy places the organism in Eukaryota, Metazoa, Mollusca, Bivalvia, Venerida, Veneridae.